RNAcentral lists this ribosomal RNA (146 nucleotides) under uncultured bacterium. RNAcentral describes it as "partial 16S ribosomal RNA". It matches the Rfam family "Bacterial small subunit ribosomal RNA", at positions 346 to 509 of the family's 1533-position model. The record is from RNAcentral.
AGGCAGCAGUGGGGAAUAUUGCACAAUGGGGGAAACCCUGAUGCAGCGACGCCGCGUGAGUGAAGAAGUUAUUCGUAAUGUAAAGCUCUAUCAGCAGGGAAGAAAGUGACGGUACCUGAGUAAGAAGCACCGGCUAAAUACGUGCC